CGAUGGCGGCAAGCCUAACACAUGCCAGUCGAGCGGCAUCGAAAGAAAGCUUGCUUUCUUGUCGGCGAGCGGCAAACGGGUGAGUAAUAUCUGGGGAUCUACCCAAAAGAGGGGGGCAACCAUUGGAAACGAUGGCUAAUACCGCAUAAUGUUUUUUAUUAAACCAAAGUGGGGGAUCUAUUUAUAGACCUCAUGCUUUUGGAUGAACCCAGACGAGAUUAGCUUGAUGGUGGGGUAAUGGCCUACCAUUGCGACGAUCUCUAGCUGGUCUGAGAGGAUGUCCAGCCACACUGGAACUGAGACACGGUCCAGACUCCUACGGGAGGCAGCAGUGGGGAAUAUUGCACAAUGGGCGAAAGCCUGAUGCAGCUAUGCCGCGUGUAUGAAGAAGGCCUUAGGGUUGUAAAGUACUUUCAGCAGGGAGGAAAAAUAAAUAGCUAAUAUCUAUUUAUCCUGACGUUACCUGAAGAAGAAGCACCGGCUAACUCCGUGCCAGCAGCCGCGGUAAUACGGAGGGUGCAAGCGUUAAUCGGAAUUACUGGGCGUAAAGAGCUCGUAGGCGGUUUCUUAAGUCAGAUGUGAAAUACCUAGGCUUAACCUAGGAACUGCAUUUGAAACUGUUUUUUUUUUU
Molecule: ribosomal RNA, 631 nt
Filed under: Bacteroides uniformis
Lineage: Bacteria; Pseudomonadati; Bacteroidota; Bacteroidia; Bacteroidales; Bacteroidaceae
Description: partial 16S ribosomal RNA
Rfam family: Bacterial small subunit ribosomal RNA
Source: RNAcentral